AAGUCGUAACAAGGUUUCCGUAGGUGAACCUCUGGAAGGAUCAUUACAAAUAAACAAGGUAGGUGAAGGUGGGGGUCCUUGAGUCUGUAAGGUGGUAGAGCGAACAUCCGGCUGCCUCCCGAAAUGUCUUACAUGUCCCCCCACAGCCUGAAGGCCGAAUUACAACCCUUGAUUAUCUACACUUGUUGCUUUGGGGUGCUCAAGUGCCCCAGAGGACCCAACUCUCUUGCAUUUAGUGACGUCUGAGUACUAUAUAAUAUUUAAAA
This 266-nucleotide unclassified non-coding RNA is filed under the name plant metagenome. Its description in RNAcentral is "partial contains small subunit ribosomal RNA and internal transcribed spacer 1". The stretch from base 1 to 46 matches the Rfam family "Eukaryotic small subunit ribosomal RNA", at positions 1786 to 1831 of the family's 1831-position model. The record is from RNAcentral.